This is a long non-coding RNA of Medicago truncatula (barrel medic), 549 nucleotides long. RefSeq lists it as uncharacterized. The transcript is spliced from 2 exons. NCBI's taxonomy places the organism in Eukaryota, Viridiplantae, Streptophyta, Magnoliopsida, Fabales, Fabaceae. The record is from RefSeq and is a predicted model, not a curated record.
CAGCUGUCCUUCAAAGGACAAUAGUUGUUCGUAAAUGGAGCACGAUUGUCCUUUCGAGACAACUGUGCAUGCAAAGGUACACCACUCUCAUUCGCCUGGAGAAGAAGGCCGAGGGCAACGGAGAAGAAGGCAACAAUUGACGUAAGUGUCCUAUACAAAGACCCUUCAACGUCAUCAACCCAAAAAUCUCAGGUCCGGUAAGAUCAAAUUACAUCUUCAAUUGAAACAAUUUUCUCCUCCAACCUCAACCCUCACCAUCAACAGUCAUUGUCACCUGCUCAUUAGCCACCGUCUCUUUAAUUCUAAAUUAUUUUCUUUAAAGUGGUGUAUGGUUGCCUUGAAGCAACAUAAAUUUCACAAAUCUGAUUGUGCACCUCAACUCAAUUAAUCGAGAAGAUAUGAAAAUAUCUGUUGCUAGAGAUUUGUUGAAACAUGAACUGAAAUUUUUCUCUGUAAUUUCAAUUCAAGUAACGCAACUGUACUGUAACUUAUGGGAAAACCAAUAUUUUGGUAAUGCGCUCUCAUGAAAAUACAAAUUAAUCGUUCAUU